This 306-nucleotide ribosomal RNA is filed under the name uncultured Bacteroidota bacterium. RNAcentral describes it as "bacterial SSU rRNA". It matches the Rfam family "Bacterial small subunit ribosomal RNA", at positions 1 to 297 of the family's 1533-position model. Lineage: Bacteria; Pseudomonadati; Bacteroidota. The record is from RNAcentral.
GGAUCCAGACUUUGAUUCUGGCUCAGGAUGAACGCUAGCUACAGGCUUAACACAUGCAAGUCGAGGGGAAACGACAUCGAAAGCUUGCUUUUGAUGGGCGUCGACCGGCGCACGGGUGAGUAACGCGUAUCCAACCUGCCCACCACUUGGGGAUAACCUUGCGAAAGUAAGACUAAUACCCAAUGAUAUCUCUAGAAGGCAUCUGAAGGAGAUUAAAGAUUUAUCGGUGAUGGAUGGGGAUGCGUCUGAUUAGCUUGUUGGCGGGGUAACGGCCCACCAAAGCUACGAUCAGUAGGGGUUCUGAGA